RNAcentral lists this long non-coding RNA (256 nucleotides) under Manihot esculenta (cassava). RNAcentral describes it as "long non-coding RNA (MESC_LNC004513)". The record is from RNAcentral. Lineage: Eukaryota; Viridiplantae; Streptophyta; Magnoliopsida; Malpighiales; Euphorbiaceae.
AGACCUUAGUUUUGAAGGAAAGGGAUGUUAGGCAUGCAAGGCUCACUAAGCCCUCUUAGCUAAGCCCAUUUAGCUAAAAGGAUGACAUGCAGUUCUUUCAUAAAUUUAUAAAGUUUGGGAGUUUUAUUUAAAUUAUUUAAAGUUGAUAUGAGAUGAAAAUCCCUAAUUUUAAAUAGGAUAUAACUGGCCAAAGAUAUAUAUAAGAGAAGUGUAACAGCCCUCGCCUGAUCUAUAAAUAAACCAAGUUAGGAAUGCC